UACCUCCUUGUCAAUGCCCAAUCUCAUUUUAUCUCAGAAAAUAAGCAGGGUUGGACCUGUUAGUACUGGGUGGGAGACCACUAUGUGCCACAGUGGGGC
Molecule: ribosomal RNA, 99 nt
Filed under: Periophthalmus magnuspinnatus
Lineage: Eukaryota; Metazoa; Chordata; Actinopteri; Gobiiformes; Gobiidae
Source: RNAcentral